GCCGGGAUGGUGAAAUUGGUAGACACGCUGGUCUUAGGAACCAGUGCCCGUCAAGGGCUUGCAGGUUCGAGUCCUGUUCCCGGUA
This 85-nucleotide transfer RNA is filed under the name Candidatus Doudnaibacteriota bacterium. RNAcentral's name for it is "Candidatus Doudnabacteria bacterium tRNA-Leu". It matches the Rfam family "tRNA". From Rfam's summary of the family: Transfer RNA (tRNA) molecules are approximately 80 nucleotides in length. Lineage: Bacteria; Candidatus Doudnaibacteriota. The record is from RNAcentral.